RNAcentral lists this ribosomal RNA (468 nucleotides) under uncultured bacterium. Its description in RNAcentral is "partial 16S ribosomal RNA". It matches the Rfam family "Bacterial small subunit ribosomal RNA", at positions 28 to 507 of the family's 1533-position model. The record is from RNAcentral.
GACGAACGCUGGCGGCGUGCUUAACACAUGCAAGUCGAACGGAAAGGCCCUGCUUUUGUGGGGUGCUCGAGUGGCGAACGGGUGAGUAACACGUGAGUAACCUGCCCUUGACUUUGGGAUAACUUCAGGAAACUGGGGCUAAUACCGGAUAGGAGCUCCUGCUGCAUGGUGGGGGUUGGAAAGUUUCGGCGGUUGGGGAUGGACUCGCGGCUUAUCAGCUUGUUGGUGGGGUAGUGGCUUACCAAGGCUUUGACGGGUAGCCGGCAUGAGAGGGUGACCGGCCACAUGGGGACUGAGAUACGGCCCAGAAGCCAACGGGAGGCAGCAGUGGGGAAUAUUGCACAAUGGGCGGAAGCCUGAUGCAGCAACGCCGCGUGCGGGAUGACGGCCUUCGGGGUGUAAACCGCUUUCGCCUGUGACGAAGCGUGAGUGACGGUAAUGGGUAAAGAAGCACCGGCUAACUACGUG